AACGAACGCUGGCGGCAUGCCUAACACAUGCAAGUCGAACGAGACCUUCGGGUCUAGUGGCGCACGGGUGCGUAACGCGUGGGAACCUGCCUUUAGGUUCGGAAUAACUCAGAGAAAUUUGAGCUAAUACCGGAUAAUGUCUUCGGACCAAAGAUUUAUCGCCUUUAGAUGGGCCCGCGUAAGAUUAGCUAGUUGGUGGGUAAAGGCCUACCAAGGCGACGAUCUUUAGCUGGUCUGAGAGGAUGAUCAGCCACACUGGGACUGAGACACGGCCCAGACUCCUACGGGAGGCAGCAGUGGGGAAUAUUGGACAAUGGGCGAAAGCCUGAUCCAGCAAUGCCGCGUGAGUGAUGAAAGGCCCUUAGGGGUUGUAAAGCUCUUUACCCGUAGAAUGAU
This 396-nucleotide ribosomal RNA is filed under the name uncultured bacterium. RNAcentral's name for it is "bacterial SSU rRNA". It matches the Rfam family "Bacterial small subunit ribosomal RNA", at positions 29 to 450 of the family's 1533-position model. The record is from RNAcentral.